CAAAAUUUUCAUUCUAGAUAAAAUUAAACUUUUUUUUAUAUACAUGAAAAAAAAAAAUUAUUAAAUCAGUAUAAAAAGUUUUUAAUAUAAAAAUAUAUAAAAAGAAAAAAAGUUAACUGAUUAAUUAAGUGCCAGCAAUCGCGGUCAAACUUAAAGUUAAAUUAAUUUAGCGGAAAAUGUAGUUAAAAAAAAGAUAGAAUUAAAUUUUUCUAAUAAAAAGUUAAAUUUUAAUUAGAUUAAAAAUUCAAACAAUUUUUGAAACUACAAAACUCUUAACAAAAAAAGGAUUUGAUACCCUUGUAUAAGAACAAAAAAUUUAUCCUGGGUAAUAAUAAAAUUUUAUAAACUCAAAGAAUAUGGCAGCAUAAAUAAAAUUUAGGGAUACUUGAUUAUUUAAAUUUUGAUAAUCCACAAAUACCUUACUUAAAAAUUGAAUAACUUCUAUAUCUCCGUUUAAGAAAUUAAUAAAAAUUAAAAAACAACUAAAUAUUUUAAAAUAAUAAUUCAGGUCAAGACAGAAUAUUUUAAGAACAAUUGAGUAUCAUUGUAAAUAAAGGUAUAUAAAACACUUUAAAAGUGUAUGUAAGAGAACUUAAAAGUAAUUUUAAUUAAGUAAAUUAAAGUGAAUAAAUAUAUAUAUUUAUGUGUACAAAUCGCCCGUCACUCUCAAUCAAAAUUGAGAUAAGUCGAAACAAAGUAAGUAUAUCGGAAGAUGUCCUUAGAUUUUA
Molecule: non-coding RNA, 728 nt
Organism: Thrips palmi
Lineage: Eukaryota; Metazoa; Arthropoda; Insecta; Thysanoptera; Thripidae
Source: the annotation of a RefSeq genome assembly